Non-coding RNA from Pelobates cultripes (western spadefoot toad), 72 nucleotides. The record is from the annotation of a GenBank genome assembly. Lineage: Eukaryota; Metazoa; Chordata; Amphibia; Anura; Pelobatidae.
GGCACAGUGGCCAAGUGAAAAGGCCUUGGUCUCGUAAACCAAAGCUCAUGGGUUCAUUCCCCAUCUGGACCU